AGAGUUUGAUCAUGGCUCAGGAUGAACGCUAGCUACAGGCUUAACACAUGCAAGUCGAGGGGCAGCAUGAACUUAGCUUGCUAAGUUUGAUGGCGACCGGCGCACGGGUGAGUAACACGUAUCCAACCUGCCGAUGACUCGGGGAUAGCCUUUCGAAAGAAAGAUUAAUACCCGAUGGCAUAGUUCUUCCGCAUGGUAGAACUAUUAAAGAAUUUCGGUCAUCGAUGGGGAUGCGCUCCAUUAGGUUGUUGGCGGGGUAACGGCCACCAAGCCUUCGAUGGAUAGGGGUUCUGAGAGGAAGGUCCCCCANAUUGGAACUGAGACACGGUCCAAACUCCUACGGGAGGCA
Molecule: ribosomal RNA, 349 nt
Filed under: uncultured bacterium
Lineage: Bacteria
Description: bacterial SSU rRNA
Rfam family: Bacterial small subunit ribosomal RNA
Source: RNAcentral